AGGAGUUAGGUCACCUCCCAGUGGCUUGAUUUCCUCUUUUUGUCUUACCCAGUGCAAAAGGCUCCAGAAAGAUCAUUGAGUAGGAUCAUAUCUGUGAGUUUGUAGUCCCGAUAUCCAGAAUAUGGAUGCCCUCAUAUUCUUAUUCUUGGGAAAGAUCCUCCUUUUAUAUUUCAAUCGACUUAUUCCAAUAUUUGAGGGAGGAAAAAAAUUGUCAAGAAACUGUCAGUGUAUCAUUCUUCCCCCUUGAGAUCUAUAUGGCACCAAUGCUGGCAAAGGAGGUUGAGAUGGUAGUAGUGGUAGA
This 301-nucleotide long non-coding RNA is filed under the name Vitis vinifera (wine grape). Its description in RNAcentral is "long non-coding RNA (VVIN_LNC008039)". The record is from RNAcentral. Lineage: Eukaryota; Viridiplantae; Streptophyta; Magnoliopsida; Vitales; Vitaceae.